Bos taurus (domestic cattle) is the source of this 435-nucleotide long non-coding RNA. Lineage: Eukaryota; Metazoa; Chordata; Mammalia; Artiodactyla; Bovidae. The record is from Ensembl.
CUCUGGUCUGCUCGGCUGGGUCUGUGCCCACUCUUUUGGCUGCUUUCCAGAAACCUGUUGUGCUCUCACAACAUCUCCUUUGUUCACAUGGACAGAGGGAGGAGGUAAGAAGAGGAAGUGUCCAGAAUCAUUGUCAUGUUCGAGAUGCAGGACCGCAGAGAGAGUGAAGUAAGAUAGGAAACUUUGAAGCAUGGCAACAAGGAGCCAAUACUGUGCCCAGGUAAGGAAAUAGUCUCUGAUAAAGUGAGCCUAAUCAGAUUGGAAAGAUUCCAUAAAUAUUAUUGGUCUAAAACACUGCUCAAAUUCCUAAUGAACACAUACCCCCAAAGGACCAGUUAAUUUUUAAACCAUUUAUUUAGAAAUAACUUCAAACUGAGAAUUUCUGUGAAUAAUACAGAGAAUUCCUAUAAGCCCUUCAACCAAAUUCAACAAUUG